This 253-nucleotide ribosomal RNA is filed under the name uncultured bacterium. RNAcentral's name for it is "partial 16S ribosomal RNA". It matches the Rfam family "Bacterial small subunit ribosomal RNA", at positions 524 to 776 of the family's 1533-position model. The record is from RNAcentral.
UACGGGGGGGGCAAGCGUUGUUCGGAAUUACUGGGCGUAAAGGGCUCGUAGGCGGCCAACUAAGUCAGACGUGAAAUCCCUCGGCUUAACCGGGGAACUGCGUCUGAUACUGGAUGGCUGGAGUUUGGGAGAGGGAUGCGGAAUUCCAGGUGUAGCGGUGAAAUGCGUAGAUAUCGGGAGGAACACCAGUGGCGAAGGCGACUUCCUGGCCUGUUCUUGACGCUGAGGCGCGAAAGCUAGGGGAGCAAACGGG